GUGAGUGACACGURCUCWACGUACCCCUCAGUUUGGCAUAGCGAUAGGAAACUGUCGAUAAUUUCAAAUACUCGUUGUUUUCGCAUGAAAACAACGUAAAAGGUGCUUCGGCAUCGCUGGGGGAGCGGGGUGCGCAACAUUAGCUAGUUGGUGAGGUAACGGCCCACCAAGGCGAUGAUGUUUAGCGGGGUUGAGAGACUGAUCCGCCACACUGGGACUGAGAUACGGCCCAGACUCCUACGGGAGGAGGCAGUAGGGAAUAUUCCACAAUGAGCGAAAGCUUGAUGGAGCGACACAGCGUGCAGGAUGAAGGUCCUCUGGAUUGUAAACUGCUGUGGUAAGGGAAGAAAAAAUAGUGUAGGUAAUGACAUUAUCUUGACGGUACCUUAUUAGAAAGCAACGGCUAACUAUGUGCCACCAGCCGCGGUAAUACAUAGGUUGCAAGCGUUAUCCGAAUUUAUUGGGCGUAAAGCGUCUGUAGGUUGUUUAUUAAGUCUGGCGUCAAAAUUUGGGGCUCAACCCCAAACCGCGUUGGAUACUGGUAGACUAGAGUUGUGCAAAGGUUAGCGGAAUUCCUUGUGAAGCGGUGAAAUGCGUAGAUAUAAGGAAGAACACCAAUAUGGCGAAGGCGGCUAACUGUGGCAUACACUGACACUGAGAGACAAAAGCGUGGGGAGCAAACAAGAUUAGAUACCCUGGUAGUCCACGCCCUAAACGAUGAUCAUUAGUUGAUGGAAAAAUCAUCGACGCAGCUCACGCAUUAAAUGAUCCGCCUGAGUAGUACGUUCGCAAGAAUAAAACUUAAAGGAAUUGACGGGGAUCCGCACAAGCGGUGGAGCAUGUGGUUUUAUUUGAAGAUACGCGUAGAACCUUACCUACUCUUGACAUC
Molecule: ribosomal RNA, 889 nt
Filed under: uncultured Mycoplasma sp.
Lineage: Bacteria; Bacillati; Mycoplasmatota; Mollicutes; Mycoplasmatales; Mycoplasmataceae
Description: bacterial SSU rRNA
Source: RNAcentral